GAAAGUUCGUGCGACUUCAGAAAGCUGAAACGAUCCCAGUGCCAUCCCGCCGGCGAUUUCCAUUGUAGCCGACAGGAAGAAGCGAUUUAUCGCUGAGCGACUAAUUUCCGUAAAUAGCAGCGUGUCUCUGCCCUAAUGUCUUCUAAUAACCCAUAUGUGCAAAACCAAUGACAAGGUCUGAAAUGAUAGUAACUAUUUUAUAAUCAUAAACUGUAUUGUUUCAUCAAACACUCCCACGUGACUGGCUGCCACAGAACAGAGGUAAAGAGAUGCCUUUGUGUCAUAUUUCAGAGCAAAGCAAGGUAGGACUUCUAAAAUGGGAUAAAAUCAUCGAAAACAAACAGAUUCACGAGUUUAAUGACGGUAAAUAGGCGGCAACAUUCCAACAUGAGCGUCACUGAAACCAGUUAGGACCGGAUGAAACAAGUAUUCCAAACGGACCUCAUUUUUUACCUCAGCGAUGGUGAUAUCAAUGCGCCGCGGAGGAGGACGUGUCCAUAAAUUAAAAAUAAAUACACAAAUAAACCACGACGCAUCAACGCAAACAUAAUAUAUGUAUGGAAUCACAUAAGCCAUACGGAUAUGAAGUCAAAUAGUGCGAAUUAUUAGUCUGAUAGUUCGCGCGGAGGAAUACCUGCGUCACUUCGUGUACGUCACGGAGGAGGGGGUUUAUAAACCUCUGUGAGACGUCGUUCGCUCAGUUCUCGUAGAAGUUUGCUGAGGGAAACAUCGAAGACUUCGAGGAGCAACGCAGCCAGAAUUUUCCACUGAUAUAUAUUUUUUGUUUGUUUUCAGCAUUGUUUCUCUCAAACUCAUCGCACCCCGUUCUGUCAGCUCUUUUAACGCGUUUUGCGAAUCUGCAAUUACCUGAAGGUAUUUAUAAUUGACUACAACAAACUUUGCUUUUGUGCCUCCCUGUCUCUGUGGUAAACUACUGGGUCUUCUCUCAGUGAAGAUCGUAGAGUUUUCCUUUUAGUUCUAUUUCGGCUUUAGACUUGAUUAUGUCUGACCAGUACCUUUAAAAUUGGUAUUUGGUAAUUAACGGUAUAGAGACAGUUUUAGGGGGUGAUUUGUGACUGUUUUCAAGCCUGAAUACGAUCUUGCUUUAAUGGAUUAGUGUGGGAUUAUGUGCCACGUAUAACAAGGGCUGUGGAUAAUACACAAGAUGGCGGCUGAUGAAGCUUAAAUGGGCGUGGUUAGGGAGCUGAUCGCCAUUUUAGAUGACUGGCAUUUUUCUUGAAUUCAAGGUGGCCACCACAGCCUUUUGUGGGUGGGGCUAGAAUAUGCUGGAAAGCUGUAGUAUAAAAGAAUCUAGUGUAACUAGAGAAGCUCAAACUAUAUAUUAUAUUGGGCUUUAACAUUUUAUGGAGUGGAUUCCACUAGUAAAUAUAGAGAGCUAGCGUGAUACCUUUUUUUUCUAGGCAAAUGCUGUCUUACUGUAAUGUUAGUGUGGUUAUGUGCCACGUAUAACAAGGACUAGAUACUACACAAAAUGGCGGCUCCUGCUGCUUAGAUGGGUGUGGUUAGGGAGCUGUUCACCAUUUUAGAUGACGACAUUUCUUGAAUUCAAGAUGGCCGCCACAGCCUCUUUUUUUGGGUGGGGCUAGAAUAUGCUGGAAAGCUGUAGUGUAACUAGUGAAGCUCAAACUAUAUAUUUUAUAAUGGGUUUAAACAUUUUGUGGAUGUCUUCCGCUAGUAAAUAUAGCGUGAGGGCUGUGGUAAUUGUUACUUUUUUCAAGCCAAAUGUUAUCUUUCUGUAAUGCAUAAGGAUAAUGACACUCGUUAAGAUUUGGGGAGAUUUAGUAGCCUGACAAAUCUCCUUCUUGGACGAGUAAUCUCACUGAAAUGCAUUCCCGUCGGCUAGAAUCUAAAUUGCCUGCGGGAUGGCACUCUGAGCGCUUCGUUUUCCGAAGUUUCCUCUUGAGGCAAUUUUGAGAAAUGAAGUGCACAGAGUUCCAUCCCAUUGGUGAUUUAGAUUCUAGCCGACGGGAAGGCAUUUCAGUGACAUUACUCGUUAAAAGAUUUGCCAGGCUACUAUUUCUCCCUAAAUCUUGCCGUGUGUCACCACCCUUAGAGUGGGGGUAUGUGCUACGUAUAACAAGGGCUGUUGAAAAUACUAAAGAUGGCGGCUGAUGCUGCUUAGACAGGCGUGGUUAGGGUGCUGUUUGCCAUUUUAGAUGAUCUCAAAAUGGCUGCCACAGCCUUUUUUGUGGGUGGGGCUAGAAUGUGCUGGAAAUCUGUAAUAUAAAAAUGUAGUGAAGCUCAUUCUAUAUAUUUAUAUUAAGAUGGGCUUAAACCUUUUAUAUAACGUUUUCCCCUAGUAAAUAUAGAGCGAGAGCCAGUGUGAUUGUUACUUUUUUCAAGCCAAAUGCUAUAUUAGUGUGGGCUUAUGUGCUACCUAUAACGAGGACUGUCAAUACUACACAAAAUGGCGGCUCCUGCUGCUUAGAUGGGUGUGGUUAGGGAACUGUUCACCAUUUUAGAUGGCAUAGCUCUUGAAUUCAAAAUGGCCGCCACAGACUCUUUUGUGGGUGGGGCUAGAAUAUGCUGCAAAGCUAUAACGUGAAGCUUGAACUAUAUAUUAUGAUGAGCUUAAACAUUUUAUGGAUAGGUUUACAUAGGGUCGGGGCUCCCAAGGCACAAUCGCAUAGUUAUUUACCUUGACAAACAAGUCCUGUUAAAGUAGCUGACAGAAUUUUUUUUCAAGUAUCUCUCCUUCCAACGCCGCUGGAUUCAGAAUGGAUGGAAAAGACUCAAGCAAUGUAAUGCCUCACUGGACUUCAUUAAGCAGAACCAAAACCAAAUACCCAUCUAUGGACUGACCAUAUCUCAAUUUCUUUUAUUCCUAUUUUAUUUUUUUUUAAAUAUUUUAUUUAUACAAUGUAUUUUUGUCUUGCAUUUUUUUAAUGAAAUAUAUAAUUGUUGCAGUCUUGUUCAGCUGAUGUUGUUAUGGGCACAUUCAAAGGUGUUGCCGAUGUCCUUAUUUUAAAAAAAACCCACCAGCCCUACAAUGUUUUAUAUAAAUAAGCCCUUGUCUGUAGAAGACUUGCGUUGCUUAUGGGCUCUCUAGUACUUAAUCUCCCCUUUUAUCCUAGACCAGAAAAUUUAUUACAAGCAUUUGUUGCUUGAUAUGUUUGGUAAAACAUGGCAUUGUGUUAAAUUAUUUGAUUUAAUUACCACGAAGAUUACAUAAAUAAAAUGUAUAACAAUCUUCCACAACCAUAAAGCAGUCUGACAAAGGCGUGCAGCAAGAGCUAUUUCAAGUAACAAGAUCAGCUCAUGUUGCUAUAUAACAAUAAUUCUGUUGUCUUUAGGGGGAGACAGAACGAUGGGGUUUAAGCUCCACCCUCGAGGAGGCAGGACACUUGUGAUUUAAUGCAUACUUCCCCCACCUUUUUAUCAUGUUAAUCCACAGCUCAGCCUUUACUCCCAAGAAAUGGAAUUAUAUUUCAGAUUUUAACCAAGUUUACUUCCAUUUUGUUCAGUUGUCAUUGGAUAGCUUCUUUUGAUAUCACUGGCGUUUGAACCCUCUGAUGGCAGUGUACAGUUCUGUGGUAAGCAAUAAAGCCCCCCUAACCUUUACCCAUUUAAACCUGUAGUAGGUGACUUUAAAAAUUAAACCAGCCUGACCAUAUAACUUUUUUUAUGUAACCCCUCCUUUGUAGGACCCACACGGCUCAUAACUAUCAAACUAAUGGGAAAUAUUUGGUAUUAUUCCUUGAAGGAGAGUAUUGUAGUCCCUUGGGGAAAUGUGGCACGUUGUUACUAUCUUACAAACCUACUGUUGUCUCCCUUUUAGAUUAAUGCCAUUUUUACAGGCUCAUACAAUUACUUUCUGUUUUUUACUGAAAAGCAGAAUAGUUCUUUAGGUUGUCAUCAAUGUAUUUGUCACUGCCUUAAAACAAUAAAUGGAUCCACCCGGAACAGUUAAUGAAAUGAAGGAAUAUUAAUAUUUUCAAUGUUUCCAUAGGAAGUUUAUUUUAUUUUUCAGAUAAGUGAGAGAUUGAGUGGCUCUUGUGACAUCUGCAAAGUUUUUAACAAUGUUUGCAAGUAAGACUAUCAUGUGUGAUGUGUAACAAUUUUUCUGAAUUAAAUUUACAGAUUGAUUUUAUGUUUCACUGUCUCAUUCUUUUAUGGUUUGGUUAUGAACACUUUUUAGUAACUGUGUUUCAGAUGGGAAUGAAGUGCCCUGGAAAAAAACGGCCUCUUCUCUCAGCUUCUUACUCUGACUCGCUGUUCCUGUUGAAUGCUAAGUACUCAAAUAUGGUUCUAGUAAGCAAUGCUUAAUACAGCGUCACCCCAUUGUUACUGUAAGCUUCUCAUUUUGUAACGGGAUCACUAAUACAGGGUGGGUUACAUAAUGGCUCUGGCAUAGCCUAUUCUACAGGGGAAAGUAGUAAUAUUUGAACAUUACUUUCAUUUCCUUGGGCAGGUUGCACAUCCUAAAUGGAGAUGAAAACUCCCAAAGCACUAAAGUGGGCUGAACCCGAAUGAACAGUCGCUCAAAUUCAUUUUCCGUACGUCCUAUUCCAGGAAGGUUAUGACUUUUCUUUGUCAGGGUUUGGCCUCAGUGUGCUAGCGGUUCCUUUGCUAAGUAAGGUCUCUCCGCCCUGCACAUGGGAUACAUACAUGUCACACAGGGAAUGCUCUAUUUGUAGCUGAAAGUUUUUGUUAUAUGCAUACCUGCAUGUGUGCUAUAGUCAUGGUCUGAGCACAAUAGUCUGGCUGUAAACCUAUCGGGCCUCUCCCUAGCCAAUAGUGUAUAUUUGACAGUUUUUACUACUGCUUUGUUUUAUAGCAGUGCUUGAAUUUGUAUGCAUAUAUAACUGGACCAUGCCUGCCGAGGUUUAGCGUAAGCUUGCAUGAAUAGUGUAACCAAGCACUUGACAAACAAAACAAAUUCAACACAUUUGUGUAAAAAGUGCCCUCCAAUACAAUUAUGCUUUCUCUUUCUGGUCUCUCUGGUUUAAAAUUCCUCAAGAACAUAACUCUGUCCCGAACUGCAUGUGCAAGACUUCAUUCCAGUACGAAUACUUGGCGUCUCUUGUGGUUGGUAUCUUGAGGUCUUUGUAAAAGCAACUAAAAGGUAAACCGUGUGGGACAAUGCAGUGCAUGAAGCAAUUGAGCGGGGGGGGGUGGGCUUGAAUCCAAACAUAUUCGUCAUCUAAAGAUAAUGUACCGUUGCCUUGCCCUAGCACAAGCCGUGCUUUUGAUACUCCGAUGUAGUUUAAAGCACGAGCACAAACUGUGCUUUUGAUACUCCGAUAGAUGGCGGUUUCACAAACUGUGCUUUUGAUACUCUGAUGGAGUUUAAACGCAUUAAGCUAAUGUAUAACCAUACACGGUAACUUAAGAUCCCAUGUUUACCAUAACAAAUUACAAUGGCAACAAACAUUCUUGUAUCUCUUGAAUGAUGUGCCAGUGUUUAUUAGUUAGUACAGAAAUACCUUUACUGGUUUUCGGAAAUACUGGAAUGCUUUUUGUUUGUUUCUGCAAUGUAGACCAUCUCAUCUGCUUUCUGAGGGCCUCAAUCUUGAGUCUGCUGCAGAUGCCAAUAGCAGCCUUCCCUGAGGGGUGUCUUGUCUGGCGAAGAUCAAACAACAAAUUCACUCAAGAGAACAGAUAUGGGAUGCUAAGGGGAAGUAUCUGGUAUCUCUGUGCUUUAUAGACCAUGACCUCUUUAACUUGAUCCCAACGCAAGUUAAAAAUAGUCCAGCUGCUCUGAUUCGGUAUCAAUCUAUAAACAUGUUCUGAGGGAUGGGACUUUUUGUGAAGGUAAAUGACAUUCCAUAUGUCUACUGUGUGCAUGAUAAUCAGCCCAUUCAAGUGGGGCUGUUCUCUAAAAUAAAAUGAACUGUGAGGGCAAGAGUCUUAGGGCACAGGCUCUUUUCUACUGAUCAUAAUAUAUCUUGCAUACAUUUUGACUUGACAUCCAGGCACAUUCGCUGGGUCAUGGCCAAGCAUUCUGCUGCCUGUUCCAGCUGCAAGAAGACCUUAUUUGUCGUUAUGCCUGCGUCAGGGACUUUUCCUCAAAGGAUGAAUGUGCAUCAGCUGAAGUGGUGGUAUUUUCCAAAUAAGCGCUUAGCAGUCAGCAAAGCUAAAGAAGUUCAGUGGUGGGGUAAGUCAUUAAAAAUAUAUUAAAAAAAAAAAAAAAAAAAAAACUAGCAGGAAAAACCAAAAAAAGGGAUACUUUGGAUGAGGGGGUGAAAGGAAAGCAAAGGUUGGCCUUUACCAAAAUGUAAGCUAUAUAUUAGUAGGGGACUGACUCCUGCUGUACUGGAGGGAACAUUUUCAUGUAGUUUAGGCAUCAUAUUUUACUAUUAGUCCUGUUCUAUUUAGAACCAUGCAUUUGAUUUGUCAGAUGAUGUUGAUCCGAUUCCAUCCUAUGAAUGGAGUUUUUUUUACGCCCUUAGUGUUGCAUUCAUGAUCCUGUGAUAUUGAUGUUAUUAAGGUAACAUGAAAAGCUGAAGCAUACCUGCUUUUUGCCAAGAGGGGGAACAUAGUUUGGUGUGUGCUAAGACAAGAUGGUCUGAUUUUAUGUGUAGCACACAAGGUAUACCCAAGUACACUGGCGAGAACCAGGUACUAUUUAAAAUGCCUAUCAUUUCAGCCUUAUAUUCAGCUGCCCUUCAUCAGGUGUUAAUACCUGCUUGUUAUUGUGCUUCAUCAUACUGAAAUUAGAAACUUUAAUACAAUCAAUUACAUAUUCUGCUAGGUAUUUUGCGUACAUCCCGUUCCAUGGGAAGGUUAUAACAUUUCCUUGGGUUUGGCUUCGGGUGUGCCAGUGGUUCAUUUGUUGGGUAAGGUCUUUAAGUCAUAGACAAGAAACACAAAGGGAAUACACUUGUUCUAGCUAAAGGUCUGUGUGUAUGUAUUCCUGUGCAUUGUGAUAUGUGCACUAUAAUCAUGGUUUGCACACGUUAUUCUGGCAACAAAGGCCUCUAACUAAAUGUAUUACACUUCUGCUACGUUUAAUAGCAGAGCUUGAGUUUGCCAACUGAAGUUUAGCUUUGUAAGCUUGCAUGCAAAUAAUGUUACCAUAACUAAAUGAAGCAUCCUAAACACAUUUACAUUGCAUAUUUUCAUAAAAAAUAUUCAUAAUCUAGUGGAAGCUGAACUCCAUAUUCAAUCAUCUCAAUAAGGGUCAAUAUCAGUUGUAGAAUUGGAAAUAAGCAAAGGAUGAACAGAAUAUGAAAAAGUAAGGCACUAAACACUAGCAACCAAAAAUAUUCUAUUGUAAAAUACUGGUUUUGUUGUGUCUAUCUACUCUCUCGAGCUCAAAGAAGUGACACAAAAUAGAAUAUUCUUGGAAGAAACAAGUUUCUUGUAUUUUUUUCUCAUUGUUAUUUGUAGGAACUUUUUUUUUUUUUUUGGUGUCUGUCUUUUGGACUCUCUCAACAGCUCAUAGAAGUGACACAAAAUCAAAGGUUCAAAUCAGGAGAAGACCUUGUCUUGUAAGAAACAAUUAUAUUCAAUCUUUUGCUAGUUAAUUUAAUGUUUUGGAGCGUUUUUUGGUGAAAUUCCUCUAUUUCUUUUAAGAGCCCACCACAAACAAGUGUAAAGAAUGACAGAAAGAUCUUUAUAGGCCUAAGAAUUUCUAUAAUCAGGUAUGUAAUUUUUAAAUAAUAGUGUCCACGUGGGUCUGUGUCUGACUUUCCCUGCAAUAUUGAGAAACAAGUAUCUCUAUCCAAUGGCAGAAGAGAUUAUUUUGGACUCUCUCAAUAGUUCAUAGAAGUCACAUGGAAUAGAAGGUUCGGUCAGACAUGGUCUUAUAGGGAAAAAAAUUCCUGCAUUAUUCACAAAUGUAAAACUUGUGCAGGUGGUGUGCAAGUUUUAAAGGUACAGGACUGUGUCCGUCUGGGUGUUUGCUCUGACUUUCCCAACAGUAUUGAGAAGAACAACCAAAGAACGUUACUGAAAGGCAGAAAGGAAUCUUGACUACUAAUGAAGUAAACACUGUAAUAUUCAAGAAGUGGAAGCUUACUGUGUUGGAGAUGGGUUGCUUCGUCUGCCAGACUGGUAUUGGUUUUAAAAAGAAAAAAAAGAAAGAAAAAAAAAAUCAAGAAAGAAAAAAAAAAAAAACAAUCCUCUAAAAUCUACUACAUUAGAUGAUCUGAAGAAAAAUCAGAACUCGAGUUUUUUAACUGUUUUUAGGUAUUGUGCUGUGGUAUAGUAGGUUUUUUUUGCGGGUUCUAUCUUUUUUUUUUUUUUUACUCUUAACAGCUCAUUGAAUUGACACAAAAUAAAAGGUUAAUACCCGCAGAAGACGACAUCUUCUAAGAACAUUCCCGAAUAUGAAAUAGUAAGGAACUAAACACUAGCAAACAAAAGCAUUAUAUAGUAAAACAGUGGUUUUGUUGUGUCUACUUCUACUCUCUCGAGCUCACAGAAGUGACACAAUAUAGAAUAUUCAAGACAUCGUCUUGGAAGAAACAGGUUUCUUGCAUUUUUUUUCCUCAUUAUUUGUAGAAUAGUAGUUUUUUGGUGUCUAUCUUUUUGGACUCUCUCAACAGCUCAUAGAAGUGACACAAAAUCGAAGGUUCGAAUCAGGAGAGGACAUUGUCUUGUAAGAAACCAUUAUAUAUUCAGUGUUUUGCUAGUUUACGAGCUCUGUACUGUUUUUGAGAGUUUUUGGUGAAAUUCCUCUACUUUUUUUAAGAGCCCACCACAAACCGACAGAAAGACCUAUAUAGGCCUCAGAAUUUCUAUAAUCAGGUAUGUCAUUUUUAAACAAUAGUGUCCAUGUGUGUCUGUCAGACUUUCCCAGCGGUAUUGAGAAGAAGCAAGGAUCUCUACCAGAUGGAAUGUCGAGUAGUAUGGAAGAGAAUAAUUAUUUUGGACUGUCUCAUUAGUUCAUAUAAGUGACAUAAAAUAAAAGGUUCGAUCAGACAUAGUCUUAUAGUAAAAAAAAAUUCCUGCAUUAUUUACAAAUGUAAAACUUGUGUAGUUGGUGCGCCAGGUUUGAAGGUACAGGACUGUGUCCUUCUGGGUGUUUGCUCUGACUUUCUCAACAGUAUUGAGAAGAAGAACCACCAAAGAACGUUACUCAAAGGCAAAAGGUAAUCUUGACUACUAAUGAAGUAAACACUGUGAAAUAUUCAAGUAGUGGAAGCUUACUGUGUUGGAGAUGGGUUGCUUUGCCUGCCAGGCUGCUAUUGGUUUAAAAAAAGAAAAAAAAAAUGAAUAAUGUCUAAAAUCUACUACAUUAGAUGAUCUGAAGAAAAAUUAAAACUCAAUCUUUCUAACUGUUUUUAGAUAUUGUGCUGUACGAUAGUAGGGGGUUUUUUUUGUCUUUUUUUUUUUUGGACUCUCAACAGCUCAUUGAAUUGAUGCACAAUAAAAGGUUAAUAUCGGCAAAGAAUGACAUCUUGUAAAAACUUUCCAUAUUUAAUUAAUUUUAGACUUGUGUAGCCAUCGGAAUUUGCAUUUUGUGUCCGUUUUCUGUACUUCUUUUAUCAGCCCGUGAUAAAGGAGAAGAAAUGUCAAAGAAAUCCCUAUAGAUAAAAUAAUUCCUCUAAUCAGGUUUUCCAGUUUUAAAUAUAAAUGGCACUAGACAACUGAGCCCAUGUGCGUUUUUUGCUCUGACUUUCCCGACAGUAUUGAGAGGAAUCAAGGAACCUUACCCAACAUGAUAAUGGUAUCUCGGAAAGUAAGGAAAUAAUAUAUUAUCUAAAAGUGUAUUUAUACUGUUAAGGUGAUUUGCUUUGGUGUCUGUGUUCUUAGAUUCUCUUACCAGCUCAUAAAUGUGACACAAGUUGGAUGGUUCAAAUCAUAAGAGGAAGAGAUCCUAUAGGUGAAACAGAAGCUUCAAAUCAGCAGACGACUUCUUCUUGUAAAACUGAAUUUUCCUGAUUUUUUUUAAUGAAUUGAAGACUUGUGUAGUCUGUUGGAUAUGUGUUGCAUUUUGUGUCGGCUGCAUGUACUUCGGAUAUGUGUUGCAUUUUGUGUCGGCUGCAUGUACUUCUUUCAUCAGCUGGUGAUACAGAAGAAGGAGCGAGAAAGAGAUCCUAUAGGUGAAGCAGAAGCUUCAAAUCAGCGGAAGUCAUCGUCUUGUAAGACGGAAUUUUCCUGAUUUUUUUUUUUUUCUGAAUUGAAGACUUGUGUAGUAUUUUAGAUAAGUGUUGAAUUUUGUGUUGGCUGCCUGUACUUCUUUCAUCAGCUCGUGAUAAAGCAGAAGGAAUGUCACAGAGAUCCUAUAGGUGAAACAGAAGCUUCAAAUCAGCGGAAGUGACCAUAUUGUAAGACGGAAUUUUCCAGAUUUUUUUUCUGAAUUGAAGACUUGUGCAGUCAGUUGGAUAUGUGUUGCAUUUUGUGUUGGCUGCCUGUACUUCUUUCAUCAGCUCGUGAUGAAGCAGAAAGAAUGUCAAAGAGAUCCUAUAGGUGAAAUAGAAGCUUCAAAACAGCGGAAGCCAUCCUCUUGUAAGAUGGAACUUUCCUGAUUUUUUUAAUGAUUUGAAGACUUUUGUAGUAUUUUUGACAAGUGUUGUGAUAAGUGUUGCAUUUUGUGUCGGCUGCCUGUACUUCUUUCCUCAGCUCGUGAUACAGCAGAAGGAAUGUCAAAGAGAUCCCUAUUAGUCAGAGUAAUCCUAUAAUCAGGUAUGCGCCACUUUUUAAAUGUAAAUGGAACUAGAGAAUUGUGUUUUUUUGGUGUGUAUUUCCUCUUCAUUAUCCCAACAGUUAUGAGAAUCAAAGGAAUUUACCCUAAAUCAGAAUGGAAUCUCAAAUAGUAAGGAAGUGAACCCUAUGAGAUGUUGUAUUAUCUAGAAGUUGAACUAUACUGUAAAGGAGAUGGUUUGCUUUGGUGUCUAUCUUCUUGGACUUUCUCAACAGCUAAUUGACAUGAAAUGAGAUAAGUGGUUCAAAGCAGGGGAGAACAUCAUCUUGUAAGAAAUAAUUUUCCUGAUUUUUUUAAUGAUUUGAAGACUUGUGUAGUAUUUUGGAUAAGUGUUGCAUUUUGUGUCGGCUGCCUGUACUUCUUUUAUCAGCUCGUGAUAAAGCAGAAGGAAUGUCAAAGAGAUCCUAUAGGUGAAACAGAAGCUUCAAAUCAGCAGAAGUCAUCGUCUUGUAAGAUGGAAUUUUCCUGAUUUUUUUCCUGAAUUGAAGACUUGUGUAGUCCGUUGGAUAUGUGUUGCAUUUUGUGUCGGCUGCCUGUACUUCUUUCAUCAGCUCGUGAUACAGAAGAAGGAAUGUCAAAGAGAUCCUAUAGGUGAAACAGAAGCUUCAAAUCAGCCGAAGUCAUCGUCUUGUAAGAUGGAAUUUUCCUGAUUUUGUCAAUGAAUUGAAGACUUGUGUAGUAUUUUAUAUGUGUUGCAUUUUGUGUCGGCUUCCUGUACUUCUUUUAUCAGCCCGUGAUACAGAAGAAGGAAUGUCAAAGAGAUCCUAUAGGUGAAACAGAAGCUUCAAAUCAGCCGAAGUCACCGUAUUGUAAGAUGGAAUUUUCCUGAUUUUGUCAAUGAAUUGAAGACUUGCAUAGUAUGAUGGAUAUGUGUUGCAUUUUGUGUCGGCUUCCUGUACAUAUUUUAUCAGCCCGUGAUACAGAUGAAGGAAUGUCAAAGAGAUCCUAUAGGUGAAACAGAAGCUUCAAAUCAGCCGAAGUCACCGUAUUGUAAGAUGGAAUUUUCCUGAUUUUGUCAAUGAUUUGAAGACUUGUGUAGUAUUUUGGAUAAGUGUUGCAUUUUGUGUCGGCUGCCUGUACUUCUUUUAUCAGUUCGUGAUAAAGCAGAAGGAAUGUCAAAGAGAUCCUAUAGGUGAAACAGAAGCUUCAAAUCAGCGGAAGUCAUCGUCUUGUAAGAUGGAAUUUUCCUGAUUUUUUUCCUGAAUUGAAGACUUGUGUAGUCCGUUGGAUAUGUGUUGCAUUUUUUGUCGGCUGCCUGUACUUCUUUCAUCAGCUCGUGAUACAGAAGAAGGAAUGUCAAAGAGAUCCUAUAGGUGAAACAGAAGCUUCAAAUCAGCGGAAGUCAUCGUCUUGUAAGAUGGAAUUUUCCUGAUUUUUUUAAUGAUUUUAAGACUUGUGUAGUAUUUUGAAUGUGUUGCAUUUUGUGUUGGCUUCUUGUACUUCUUUUAUCAGCCCGUGAUACAGAAGAAGGAAUUUUUUAUGAGAUUCUAUAGGUGAAACAGAAGCUUCAAAUCAGCCGAAGUCAUCGUAUUGUAAGACGGAAUUUUCCUGAUUUUGUCAACGAAUUGAAGACUUGUAUAGUAUGAUGGAUAUGUGUUGCAUUUUGUGUCGGCUUCCUGUACAUAUUUUAUCAGCUCGUGAUACAGCAGAAGAAAUGUCAAAGAGAUCCUGUAGGUGAAACAGAAGCUUCAAAUCGGCCAAAGUCACCGUAUUGUAAGACGGAAUUUUCCUGAUUUUGUCAAUGAAUUGAAGACUGGUAUAGUAUGAUGGAUAUGUGUUGCAUUUUGUGUUGGCUUCUUGUACUUCUUUUAUCAGCCCGUGAUACAGAAGAAGGAAUUUUUAAUGAGAUUCUAUAGGUGAAACUGAAGCUUAAAAUCAGCCGAAGUCACCGUAUUGUAAGACGGAAUUUUCCUGAUUUUGUCAAUGAAUUCAAGACUUGUAUAGUAUGAUGGAUAUGUGUUGUAUUUUGUGUCAGCUUCCUGUACAUAUUUUAUCAGCCCGUGAUACAGAUGAAGGAAUGUCAAAGAGAUCCUAUAGGUGAAACAGAAGCUUCAAAUCAGCCGAAGUCACCGUAUUGUAAGAUGGAAUUUUCCUGAUUUUGUCAAUGAUUUGAAGACUUGUGUAGUAUUUUGGAUAAGUGUUGCAUUUUGUGUCGGCUGCCUGUACUUCUUUUAUCAGCUCGUGAUAAAGCAGAAGGAAUGUCAAAGAGAUCCUAUAGGUGAAACAGAAGCUUCAAAUCAGCGGAAGUCAUCGUCUUGUAAGAUGGAAUUUUCCUGAUUUUUUUCCUGAAUUGAAGACUUGUGUAGUCCGUUGGAUAUGUGUUGCAUUUUGUGUCGGCUGCCUGUACUUCUUUCAUCAGCUCGUGAUACAGAAGAAGGAAUGUCAAAGAGAUCCUAUAGGUGAAACAGAAGCUUCAAAUCAGCGGCAGUCACCGUAUUGUAAGACGGAAUUUUCCUGAUUUUUUUUAAUGAUUUGAAGACUUGUGUAGUAUUUUGAAUGUGUUGCAUUUUGUGUUGGCUGCCUGUACUUCUUUUAUCAGCUCGUGAUACAGCAGAAGGAAUGUCAAAGAGAUCCUAUAGGUGAAACAGAAGCUUCAAAUCAGCGGAAGUCAUCGUCUUGUAAGAUGGAAUUUUCCUGAUUUUUUUAAUGAUUUGAAGACUUGUGUAGUAUUUUGAAUGUGUUGCAUUUUGUGUCGGCUUCUUGUACUUCUUUUAUUAGCCCGCGAUACAGAAGAAGGAAUUUUUAAUGAGAUUCUAUAG
This is a long non-coding RNA of Xenopus laevis (African clawed frog), 13374 nucleotides long. RefSeq lists it as uncharacterized. NCBI's taxonomy places the organism in Eukaryota, Metazoa, Chordata, Amphibia, Anura, Pipidae. The record is from RefSeq and is a predicted model, not a curated record. The transcript has 2 exons.